RNAcentral lists this ribosomal RNA (490 nucleotides) under uncultured bacterium. RNAcentral describes it as "partial 16S ribosomal RNA". It matches the Rfam family "Bacterial small subunit ribosomal RNA", at positions 28 to 507 of the family's 1533-position model. The record is from RNAcentral.
GAUGAACGCUAGCUACAGGCUUAACACAUGCAAGUCGCGGGGCAGCAUGGGGGUUGCUUGCAAUCCCCGAUGGCGACCGGCGCACGGGUGAGUAACGCGUAUCCAACCUGCCCUUCACCACGGGAUAACCCGGCGAAAGUCGGACUAAUACCGUAUGCUGUCCAUUGACGGCAUCCGAUUUGGACGAAAGGCUUGGCGGUGAGGGAUGGGGAUGCGUCCGAUUAGCCAGACGGCGGGGUAACGGCCCACCGUGGCUACGAUCGGUAGGGGUUCUGAGAGGAAGGUCCCCCACACUGGAACUGAGACACGGUCCAGACUCCUACGGGAGGCAGCAGUGAGGAAUAUUGGUCAAUGGGCGUAAGCCUGAACCAGCCAAGUAGCGUGCAGGAUGACGGCCCUAUGGGUUGUAAACUGCUUUUAUGCGGGGAUAAAGUGGCCCACGUGUGGGCUUUUGCAGGUACCGCAUGAAUAAGGACCGGCUAAUUCCGUG